UCCGAGUUGACCCCGGCAGUCUCCUACGAGUCCCCGGCCGAACCGCUGGCAACAUAGGACAAGGGUUGCGCUCGUUGCGGGACUUAACCCAACACCUCACGGCACGAGCUGACGACAGCCAUGCACCACCUGUGCACAGGCCCCGAAGGGCUGCCGUAUCUCUACCCCGUUCCGCACAUGUCAAGGGUAGGUAAGGUUUUUCGCGUUGCAUCGAAUUAAUCCACAUAGUCCACCGCUUGUGCGGGUCCCCGUCAAUUCCUUUGAGUUUAAGCCUUGCGGCCGUACUCCCCAGGCGGUCAACUUCACGCGUUAGCUUCGUUACCAAGGAAUUACUUCCCCGACAACUAGUUGACAUCGUUUAGGGCGUGGACUAC
RNAcentral lists this unclassified non-coding RNA (374 nucleotides) under uncultured Gammaproteobacteria bacterium. Its description in RNAcentral is "contains 16S-23S intergenic spacer region". The record is from RNAcentral. Lineage: Bacteria; Pseudomonadati; Pseudomonadota; Gammaproteobacteria.